This 60-nucleotide microRNA precursor is filed under the name Lepisosteus oculatus (spotted gar). RNAcentral describes it as "Loc-Mir-22-P1a_pre stem-loop". It matches the Rfam family "mir-22 microRNA precursor family", at positions 16 to 74 of the family's 84-position model. The record is from RNAcentral. Lineage: Eukaryota; Metazoa; Chordata; Actinopteri; Semionotiformes; Lepisosteidae.
CGUUCUUCACUGGCUAGCUUUAUUUUUCUGUCCAUGUAAAGCUGCCAGUUGAAGAGCUGU